Molecule: long non-coding RNA, 830 nt
Filed under: Mustela putorius furo (domestic ferret)
Lineage: Eukaryota; Metazoa; Chordata; Mammalia; Carnivora; Mustelidae
Description: lncRNA (ENSMPUG00000023921.1)
Source: RNAcentral
NNNNNNNNNNNNUUGCCUUUAUUGAUAAAAACUUCUCCUGGUUCUCCAUAUUUAGCGAAAAGUCUUUUGAAUUCAUCCUCUGUGAUAUCAGCAGGUAGAUUCCCAACAAACAACCAACAACGCUGAGUGUAAGUUUUCUCUCCAGGCCUCCUCAAGAGAGACAAGUUGGCUUUAAAUCCCUCUGAGUCGGAGAUCUCGCUGCGGCCGCCUGGCCCGCCAGGUUGAAUGGAGUCAUCUCAAGUUUUAAGUUGUUUCCUCAACUGAAAAAAUACAGAAAACACCCCUAUUUCAAAGGUUUGUUUACACUCACUUAUUUGAAAGAAAUAAUUUCACAUGUUUUGAGAUGGGCAAUAGCUGUAGCACCAGCCAUAUAGGAAUAGAAGCCACAAUGCCUGCUGCAGAGAUGCUCACUGGCUAGUGAAGGAGGCAGCCGGUUCUCUGGGCAGGAGAGGAAAUUUCUAAACCAGUUUGGACCCAAGGCCCUCCAAGGAAUUUAAGCAAAGAAUGAUGGGGACUGCCACGUCUUACUUACUAGAGCACACAGCAUCUUGUUGUGUCCUAUGAGCCCUGCCCCCCAUGUAUCUGGCCCACAUAAACUUCAAGCUCAUUCAUCACUUUUGGAAGCCGAUAUCAAUGCCACCCUGAUAUCAAUGCCAUCCUCUUCAGUCACCUCUCUGCUUGGUUCUGCAGAAACUCCGUUUUCUAACACUUUCUGUAAGGCAGAAGAAUCAGGAACUGUUCCAAGCCACAAAGACAUGGUAGGAUUUACCAUGUGAUUUUAGGUCAUCACUGCCUGCCUUUCUGCCUGCUUGUGAUCUCUCUAUGUCAAA